RNAcentral lists this antisense RNA (44 nucleotides) under Bradyrhizobium yuanmingense. RNAcentral describes it as "ctRNA". It matches the Rfam family "ctRNA". Rfam says of the family: This family represents a group of ctRNAs (or counter-transcribed RNAs) from p42d and related plasmids. ctRNAs are small, highly structured, antisense sequences which are involved in negative regulation. Members of this family are known to bind to the mRNA of repC causing translational repression. RNAcentral also lists the same sequence under 7 other names. Lineage: Bacteria; Pseudomonadati; Pseudomonadota; Alphaproteobacteria; Hyphomicrobiales; Nitrobacteraceae. The record is from RNAcentral.
AGAAGGGCUUCCGGAACUCCGUUUCGGGGGCCUUUUUCUUUUGC